This 433-nucleotide ribosomal RNA is filed under the name uncultured bacterium. RNAcentral describes it as "partial 16S ribosomal RNA". It matches the Rfam family "Bacterial small subunit ribosomal RNA", at positions 29 to 507 of the family's 1533-position model. The record is from RNAcentral.
AACGAACGCUGGCGGCAUGCCUAACACAUGCAAGUCGAACGAGACCUUCGGGUCUAGUGGCGCACGGGUGCGUAACGCGUGGGAACCUGCCCUUAGGUUCGGAAUAACUCCCCGAAAGGGGUGCUAAUACCGGAUAAUUUCUUCGGACCAAAGAUUUAUCGCCUUUGGAUGGGCCCGCGUUGGAUUAGCUAGUUGGUAGGGUAAAAGCCUACCAAGGCUACGAUCCAUAGCUGGUCUGAGAGGAUGAUCAGCCACACUGGGACUGAGACACGGCCCAGACUCCUACGGGAGGCAGCAGUGGGGAAUAUUGGACAAUGGGCGAAAGCCUGAUCCAGCAAUGCCGCGUGAGUGAUGAAGGCCUUAGGGUUGUAAAGCUCUUCUACCCGGGAUGAUAAUGACAGUACCGGGAGAAUAAGCUCCGGCUAACUCCGUG